GCCGGGUGUGGUGGUGCAUACCUGUAGUCCCAGCUACUAGGGAGGCUGAGGCAGGAGGAUUGCUUGAACCCUGGCGGCAGAGGUUGCAGUGAGCUGAGAUUGCACCACUGCACUCUAGCCUGGGUGACAAAGGAAGACCCUGUCUCAU
Molecule: non-coding RNA, 148 nt
Filed under: Gorilla gorilla gorilla (western lowland gorilla)
Lineage: Eukaryota; Metazoa; Chordata; Mammalia; Primates; Hominidae
Source: Rfam by way of RNAcentral